RNAcentral lists this ribosomal RNA (95 nucleotides) under Canis lupus familiaris (dog). Its description in RNAcentral is "partial 16S ribosomal RNA". The record is from RNAcentral. Lineage: Eukaryota; Metazoa; Chordata; Mammalia; Carnivora; Canidae.
UGAUAAUAGUUAUACCCUCACGUCUCAAUACGCAUCACUUAUUGAUCCGAUAAUUUUUGAUCAACGGAACAAGUUACCCUAGGGAUAACAGCACA